This 541-nucleotide ribosomal RNA is filed under the name Saitozyma flava. RNAcentral's name for it is "eukaryotic LSU rRNA". It matches the Rfam family "Eukaryotic large subunit ribosomal RNA", at positions 51 to 598 of the family's 3401-position model. Lineage: Eukaryota; Fungi; Basidiomycota; Tremellomycetes; Tremellales; Trimorphomycetaceae. The record is from RNAcentral.
CGGAGGAAAAGAAACCGACAAGGAUUCCCCUAGUAGCGGCGAGCGAAGCGGGAAGAGCUCAAAUUUGUAAUAUGGCGUCCUCCGGGCGUCCGAGUUGUAAUAUAUAGAGACGUUUUCCGUGCCGGACCGUGUCCAAGUCCCUUGGAACAGGGUAUCAAAGAGGGUGACAAUCCCGUACUUGACACGACGACCGGUGCUCUGUGAUACGUUUUAUACGAGUCGAGUUGUUUGGGAAUGCAGCUCAAAAUGGGUGGUAAAUUCCAUCUAAAGCUAAAUAUAGGCGAGAGACCGAUAGCGAACAAGUACCGUGAGGGAAAGAUGAAAAGCACUUUGGAAAGAGAGUUAAACAGUAUGUGAAAUUGUUGAAAGGGAAACGAUUGAAGUCAGUCAUGUCCAUUGGAUUCAGCUGGUUCUGCCAGUGUAUUUCCUUUGGACGGGUCAACAUCAGUUUGAGCCGGCGGAUAAUGGCAGAGGGAAUGUGGCACCCCCGGGUGUGUUAUAGCCCUUUGUCGCAUACGCCGGCCCAGACUGAGGAAUGCAG